AACGAACGCUGGCGGCAGGCUUAACACAUGCAAGUCGAACGCAUCCUUCGGGGUGAGUGGCAGACGGGUGAGUAACGCGUGGGAACGUGCCGUUCAGUUCGGGAUAACCCAGGGAAACUUGGGCUAAUACCGGAUACGGGCGCGAGCAGAAAGAUUUAUCGCUGAAGGAUCGGCCCGCGUCUGAUUAGCAAGUUGGUGGGGUAAUGGCCCACCAAGGCGACGAUCAGUAGCUGGUCUGAGAGGAUGAUCAGCCACAUUGGGACUGAGACACGGCCCAAACUCCUACGGGAGGCAGCAGUGGGGAAUAUUGGACAAUGGGCGCAAGCCUGAUCCAGCCAUGCCGCGUGAGUGAUGAAGGCCAUAGGGUUGUAAAGCUCUUUCGUCCGGGACGAUAAUGACGGUACCGGAAGAAGAAGCCCCGGCUAACUUCGUGCCAGCCGCCGCGGUAA
This 449-nucleotide ribosomal RNA is filed under the name uncultured bacterium. RNAcentral describes it as "partial 16S ribosomal RNA". It matches the Rfam family "Bacterial small subunit ribosomal RNA", at positions 29 to 523 of the family's 1533-position model. The record is from RNAcentral.